GUGCUUGCACCUUUCAAGCGAGUGGCGAACGGGUGAGUAACACGUGGAUAACCUGCCUCAAGGCUGGGGAUAACAUUUGGAAACAGAUGCUAAUACCGAAUAAAACUUAGUAUCGCAUGAUACAAAGUUGAAAGGCGCUACGGCGUCACCUAGAGAUGGGUCCGCGGUGCAUUAGUUAGUUGGUGGGGUAAAGGCCUACCAAGACAAUGAUGCAUAGCCGAGUUGAGAGACUGAUCGGCCACAUUGGGACUGAGACACGGCCCAAACUCCUACGGGAGGCUGCAGUAGGGAAUCUUCCACAAUGGGCGAAAGCCUGAUGGAGCAACGCCGCGUGUGUGAUGAAGGCUUUAGGGUCGUAAAGCACUGUUGUAUGGGAAGAAAUGCUAAAAUAGGGAAUGAUUCUAGUUCGACGGUACCAUACCAGAAAGGGACGGCUAAAUACGUGCCAGCAGCCGCGGUAAUACGUAUGUCCCGAGCGUUAUCCGGAUUUAUUGGGCGUAAAGCGAGCGCAGACGGUUGAUUAAGUCUGAUGUGAAAGCCCGGAGCUCAACUCCGGAAUGGCAUUGGAAACUGGUUAACUUGAGUGUUGUAGAGGUAAGUGGAACUCUAUGUGGUAG
Molecule: ribosomal RNA, 617 nt
Filed under: Leuconostoc lactis
Lineage: Bacteria; Bacillati; Bacillota; Bacilli; Lactobacillales; Lactobacillaceae
Description: bacterial SSU rRNA
Rfam family: Bacterial small subunit ribosomal RNA
Source: RNAcentral